This 301-nucleotide ribosomal RNA is filed under the name uncultured bacterium. Its description in RNAcentral is "partial 16S ribosomal RNA". It matches the Rfam family "Bacterial small subunit ribosomal RNA", at positions 509 to 807 of the family's 1533-position model. The record is from RNAcentral.
CAGCCGCCGCGGUAAUACGGAGGGAGCUAGCGUUGUUCGGAAUUACUGGGCGUAAAGCGCACGUAGGCGACUUUGUAAGUCAGAGGUGAAAGCCUGGAGCUCAACUCCAGAACUGCCUUUGAGACUGCAUCGCUUGAAUCCAGGAGAGGUGAGUGGAAUUCCGAGUGUAGAGGUGAAAUUCGCAGAUAUUCGGAAGAACACCAGUGGCGAAGGCGGCUCACUGGACUGGUAUUGACGCUGAGGUGCGAAAGCGUGGGGAGCAAACAGGAUUAGAUACCCCUGUAGUCCCUGUCUCUUAUAC